Molecule: ribosomal RNA, 409 nt
Filed under: uncultured Methanocalculus sp.
Lineage: Archaea; Methanobacteriati; Methanobacteriota; Methanomicrobia; Methanomicrobiales; Methanocalculaceae
Description: bacterial SSU rRNA
Rfam family: Archaeal small subunit ribosomal RNA
Source: RNAcentral
CACCGGAUACGACAGCGGGAAUGAUAGCCGGGCUGAAGACUCUGCUUGACUAGCUGAGAGGAGGUGCAUGGCCGUCGUCAGUUCGUACUGUGAAGCAUCCUGUAAGUCAGGCACGAGCGAGACCACGCCAACAGUUGCCAGCAUGAUCUCCGGAUUGAUGGGGACACUGUUGGGACCGCCUCUGCUAAAGGGGAGGAAGGAAUGGGCAACGGUAGGUCAGCAUGCCCCGAAUUAUCCGGGCUACACGCGGGCUACAAUGGAUGGGACAAUGGGUUUCGACACCGAAAGGUGAAGGUAAUCUCCUAACCCCACCCGUAGUUCGGAUUGCGGGCUGCAACUCGCCCGCAUGAAGCUGGAAUCCGUAGUAAUCGCGUCUCACGAUGGCGCGGUGAAUAUGUCCCUGCUCCUU